GGUAAAGGUGGCGCGACGGGUGAGUAACACGUGGAUAACCUACCCUUGAGCGAGGGGAUAACACGUCCCGAAAGGGGUGCUAAUACCGCAUAAGACCACGGCUACCGAAAGGAGCUGAAGGUAAAAGCUGGCCUCUAUAUAUAAGCUAGCACUUGAGGACGGGUCCGCGGCGCAUCAGGUAGUUGGCGGGGUAAUGGCCCACCAAGCCUUAGACGCGUAGCUGGUCUGAGAGGAUGAUCAGCCACACUGGAACUGAGACACGGUCCAGACUCCGUACGGGAGGCAGCAGGUGGGGAAUCUUGCGCAAUGGACGAAAGUCUGACGCAGCGACGCCGCGUGUGUGAUGAAGGCCUUCGGGUCGUAAAGCACUGUGGGGAGAGAAGAAUAAGCAAAGGCCAAUACCCUUUGUGAUGACGGUAUCUCCUUAGCAAGCACCGGCUAACUCUGUG
RNAcentral lists this ribosomal RNA (449 nucleotides) under uncultured bacterium. Its description in RNAcentral is "bacterial SSU rRNA". It matches the Rfam family "Bacterial small subunit ribosomal RNA", at positions 88 to 507 of the family's 1533-position model. The record is from RNAcentral.